RNAcentral lists this ribosomal RNA (225 nucleotides) under uncultured Glomeromycotina. RNAcentral's name for it is "partial small subunit ribosomal RNA". The stretch from base 35 to 225 matches the Rfam family "Eukaryotic small subunit ribosomal RNA", at positions 677 to 868 of the family's 1831-position model. The record is from RNAcentral. Lineage: Eukaryota; Fungi; Glomeromycota.
GGAUUGACGCGACGGUCGUGCCUUAAGGGGCGUGAACUGUCGCCGUUGAUUUCUCACCUUCUGGAGAAGCUCGAUGUCCUUAAUUGGAUGUCUUGUGGAACCAGGACCUUUACCUUGAAAAAUUAGAGUGUUUAAAGCAGGCAUUUUGCUCGAAUACAUUAGCAUGGAAUAAUAGAAUAGGACGGCAUGGUUCUAUUUUGUUGGUUUCUAGGAUCACCGUAAUGA